GGCAAUUUAUUUUCUUAUAAAAAGUUUUUUUUUUAAGUAGUUUAGUUACAGACAAGCAUGUAAAGAUGGUUAUAGUUUUAACACUACUGACCCACAGAUAAAAAAGAGAUCAUGUUAAAUUUACCGUAACCCCUCCCCCCAAAAGUUGCAAUAAUGUAAGAUGAAGUAUAGAUGACACAGGGUUUCCUGUCAGGAUUUUAUAGGAUGAAGCACCACAUGCAAAUGUCUUUCUACAGGUCAUAUGUGUUAUAGGUUAAAAGCCGCCUGUCACCCAGGAUGUGACUGCGAAUCACUGGAUUGCAGGGACACUAUACAACAUGUUGCUGUUCUGGUGUGUGCUGUGUGUAUCCUCACUGCAGGGAGUGUUGUCACAGGCGCAGCUUGUUCAGCCAUCCGCAGAAGUCAGAAAGCCUGGAGAGAGUGUGAAGAUGUCCUGUAAGACGUCUGGAUUUUCAUUCACAGGCUACUAUAUAAACUGGAUUCAACAGGUUCCCGGAAAAGGAUUGAAAUGGGUCGGAAGAAUUGACCCUGCAGAUGGAAACACAGUAUAUUCCUCAUCCUUUGAAGGACGAUUCACAAUAACAACAGACAAUUCCAUCACCACAGCCUAUUUACAGAUAAACCGCCUCAGUCUGGAGGAUUCAGCCACAUAUUACUGUGCAAGACACAAUGAGAAAAAGAGGCCAUCUGCCAUACAAAAACAUACACAAACAAUGUCAUCCUCAAUCCACUUGGGGGCAGUACAUAAUAACAUUUAG
Molecule: non-coding RNA, 758 nt
Organism: Hyla sarda
Lineage: Eukaryota; Metazoa; Chordata; Amphibia; Anura; Hylidae
Source: the annotation of a RefSeq genome assembly